UACGUAGGGGGCAAGCGUUAUCCGGAUUUACUGGGUGUAAAGGGGGCGCAGACGGCGAUGCAAGCCAGGAGUGAAAGCCCGGGGCCCAACCCCGGGACUGCUCUUGGAACUGCGUGGCUGGAGUGCAGGAGGGGCAGGCGGAAUUCCUGGUGUAGCGGUGAAAUGCGUAGAUAUCAGGAGGAACACCGGUGGCGAAGGCGGCCUGCUGGCCUGCAACUGACGUUGAGGCCCGAAAGCGUGGGGAGCAAACAGG
This 253-nucleotide ribosomal RNA is filed under the name uncultured bacterium. RNAcentral describes it as "partial 16S ribosomal RNA". It matches the Rfam family "Bacterial small subunit ribosomal RNA", at positions 524 to 776 of the family's 1533-position model. The record is from RNAcentral.